AUUAGCUGCGACGAAUGUUCCUUCUGAAGCGAGACGAGUGUAACUUGGUGACACACUACGCCGCGUCGACACUGGAUUAUUGUGCGUAGAUGUAAUUAUUCACACAAUGUAAUCGGAUAAGACAAUGAGACGUUACGACAAUGAGCGUAGUACGAGGUAUGUGUGUAGGAGUGUGAGCGCGCGCGUGUGUAUGUGUGUGUGUGUGUGCAUGUAUAUAUACAGGUGCCUGACGAUACAAAACUCUCGUAUAUGUGUAAAUGAGAUCAAGCUGAACAAAAAGUUCCUCUAUCAUUUUGCGAACAACCACGUAAAAUUUUGAGUUGUCAGCCAAAAGAAGAUUUUAGCGAAUAAUCACUGAUCUUCUUUAACCCUACAGUCAUCGCAUGGGACCUUUAAGAGAAUAUUAUAUCCAAAAUAGUCUUUUCUUAUAUUUUACAUGAACCCCAAAAACCUAAUUAAACAGAGAAAAUAUUUAAGUUCCCAGCAUAAAAGAUAUAAAAUAAUUUUUUAUAUUGGGGUCUCUCAAAAUCCCAGGCGUCGACUCGUGUUCGAAAAGUAGCGCGACGACUGUAAGGUUAAUGAAUAACUGAAAAUUUUCCAUGGCUAUUCGCAAAGUGAUAGGAGAAUCUUUCGUUCAAUUUGAUCUAAUCUACAUGAGAAUUUUAUAUAUUAUCGUCAAACACUCUGUAUGUGUAUGUGUGUGUGUGUGUAUGUGCGGCAAAAUAAGAUAUAAAUAAAACAGCUACAUCUAUAAGUCUAUAAUACUUAUAUAUAAAUAUAUAUAAAUAUGUGUGUGCCCGCACGAGGCGUCUGUUGGAUGGGCGUGUAACUAUAGUCGCAAGCGCCAAACUAACGUACAUCGCAACGCAACGAAAGAGUAUAUCGUCUAAUUCGACUCAAAUGAAUGGGGUCCAUUCAAAGUCGCCCUCGUUGGCUGUUACUACACACAGAGUGUGGCGGUGCGAGAGCUAGCGCUGCAGAGAGUUCCACUGACGAGCCUAUUAAUUAUUCAGAAGGAAAUUGUGUAACGCGCGUAUGCACAGUGAGUACAGAGGCUGGGAAUCCGACAAGGACGUCUUUCAAAUUAAACAGCGAUAUUGACACCCGGCACGCAGUCAUUACGGCGCUCGUCGAGUGCGUAGCCGCCGAGGAGCGCCCGCCAGAGGAAUUUGUUUCCUCGUUAAUGAAUUCUCGCUGACUGAACCGCGGGAUCACGACUACCGGAUAAUCGAACGAGCUGCGAGCAGGCUUCGAAGUAGCCUGGAAAAUCUUCGUCAAUUCUAUUCGUCAAUUUCCGUAUUUUUUCGCAAGAAAUUUCGUACUUUCUUGCUCUCUUUUGAAGGAGAAAGAUCGUAUCGAGAGAAAAAGUAUCUGGAAAUUAAGGAAUAUUUAUUCAAUAGAUAUCUCUCCUCACAGUGUGACUUUUGACUCAUCUUCGAACGACUGUCGGACAGACUGUGCAUUCACUGAGCCAUAGCGAUGAUGCUUGUGAGAAGAUUCAGCGGCUACGGGGGCUGCGUGGUGCGGCGACAGAUAGGCUGUGUGUACGACAAAGGGAUGAAUAAUUGAAAGAAAAUAUCGAAGGAGGAAACAUCAGUGGAGCGCAACAGAUUCCGCCGCAUCCGCGCGAAAUAGCUCAACUCAAAUGAAUCAUACGAGAAGAAAACAUCCACGAUAUAGCAGCAGCUGUUGCAACGUUGAAAAAUCCCCUACUUUCUACUAGUCAACAAUUCGUUGGACGAACGAUUCUUUUCUCUUCUUCCUUUCUCUCCCAUAAUCUCAGUUUUCACAUCUACACUGUGGGAGAGAAAAAAUACCGAAAAAAUAAAGAGACGUUUACUCGGUCGGUACUAAUUACUUAAACUUAAAUCCUCUUUUAUUUUAGAAUCAAUGGUUGCCUUUCUUCAUGGUAAAAACUAUUAGUUCCACGGAAAUGUAUAUUUUCUUAUUUGAAGAAAUUAUUAUGUUGUUGUAUCGAAAUAAAA
This is a long non-coding RNA of Odontomachus brunneus, 1985 nucleotides long. RefSeq lists it as uncharacterized. Lineage: Eukaryota; Metazoa; Arthropoda; Insecta; Hymenoptera; Formicidae. The record is from RefSeq and is a predicted model, not a curated record. The transcript is spliced from 3 exons.